RNAcentral lists this ribosomal RNA (253 nucleotides) under uncultured bacterium. Its description in RNAcentral is "partial 16S ribosomal RNA". It matches the Rfam family "Bacterial small subunit ribosomal RNA", at positions 524 to 776 of the family's 1533-position model. The record is from RNAcentral.
UACGAAGGGUGCAAGCGUUAUCCGGCUUCAUUGGGUUUAAAGGGUGCGUAGGCGGAGCAUUAAGUCAGUGGUGAAAUCCUGCAGCUCAACUGUAGACUUGCCAUUGAUACUGAUGCUCUUGAGUGCGCUUGAAGUAGGCGGAAUGUGCCGUGUAGCGGUGAAAUGCUUAGAUAUGGCACAGAACACCAAUUGCGAAGGCAGCUUACUAAGGCGAUACUGACGCUGAGGCACGAAAGCGUGGGGAUCGAACAGG